AAAUUAAGACACGCACAAAUAAUCCAGAUUUUGGGAUCCAUCUCAAGAUACCUAGUACGACAUUAAUUCCUAGUCUUUGGACAGAGAAAUUAACUGUAAUUGGUACUCUUGGUGCAAUGAUAAAACAUUGACAAUCAAUUCUGUCAAAUAAUAGCCUUUCUUUGGACCGACUAUUAUUCACAUGAAAUGUCUUUAUAAUUGUCACACAUUUAUCAUCACAAGCACGUUGUUAUUUGGCCAAAUUGUGUCUUCCUUUGGGCCGAGCACAAUUCGCAUAAAUAACUCCGUACAAAACAUCUAUGUAUUUUCAAUUAAAUCAAUCUACAC
Molecule: long non-coding RNA, 327 nt
Filed under: Olea europaea (common olive)
Lineage: Eukaryota; Viridiplantae; Streptophyta; Magnoliopsida; Lamiales; Oleaceae
Description: long non-coding RNA (OEUR_LNC014727)
Source: RNAcentral